This is a long non-coding RNA of Drosophila willistoni, 683 nucleotides long. RefSeq lists it as uncharacterized. The record is from RefSeq and is a predicted model, not a curated record. The transcript is spliced from 4 exons. Lineage: Eukaryota; Metazoa; Arthropoda; Insecta; Diptera; Drosophilidae.
GUCAUAUUGUUGAUUACCUAAUUUUUUCCGUUUCAAACUAUUGAAUAAUAAACCUUAACAAAUUAAGACAAAAAUAUUUUCUUUUUGGAUUGAAAUGGGCAAAACGUGCGUGGCAUAUCUUACAAUUGCAUGCAUAACCCUUUUCCUGAUUGAUAUCCUACUUUUGUCUGCCAUUAUAGCGGUUUUUUUCAAAGAACCAGAUAAAAUAAUUCAAAUUUGGGGUAAAACGGUUCGAAAAACUUUCAAAGUUUUGGUAUACGCAGUACAGAAAUAUGUAACCCGAUAUGGUCAUCGUCCAAGUCGUCAUCAAAUCACUUUAUUACAGCAAGGAUUGAAACUUUAAUAUGUAUAGUAUGGAUUCCGAUACUUUAAAUACAUUUGCCUAACUUAAUUGAAUAUGGGUGUCCAAUUCGGCCUUAGUGUCUUAUUUGGUAUCCUGCUAGUUCUGAUGAUUACUUUCAUUAUUGGUUUGAUUUGCCUGGAAAUAUUUCACGAUCGUAAGAAAUAUGUCAUACUGUUCUCAGCACUAGCUUUAGAUAAUAAUUACCCUUAGGGGAAAGCCAAAUCAAUUGUUAGAAUUAACAGAUAUUCAAUAUAAAUGGUAUUGAUAAAUAUUUUCAGAUAUAAGCUUGUACAACAAAAUUAUAGAUAUUGUUAUUUAAAUAAAAAGCAAUAAGCACAUA